RNAcentral lists this ribosomal RNA (1433 nucleotides) under Vibrio alginolyticus. Its description in RNAcentral is "bacterial SSU rRNA". It matches the Rfam family "Bacterial small subunit ribosomal RNA". The record is from RNAcentral. Lineage: Bacteria; Pseudomonadati; Pseudomonadota; Gammaproteobacteria; Vibrionales; Vibrionaceae.
AACACAUGCAAGUCGAGCGGAAACGAGUUAUCUGAACCUUCGGGGAACGAUAACGGCGUCGAGCGGCGGACGGGUGAGUAAUGCCUAGGAAAUUGCCCUGAUGUGGGGGAUAACCAUUGGAAACGAUGGCUAAUACCGCAUGAUGCCUACGGGCCAAAGAGGGGGACCUUCGGGCCUCUCGCGUCAGGAUAUGCCUAGGUGGGAUUAGCUAGUUGGUGAGGUAAGGGCUCACCAAGGCGACGAUCCCUAGCUGGUCUGAGAGGAUGAUCAGCCACACUGGAACUGAGACACGGUCCAGACUCCUACGGGAGGCAGCAGUGGGGAAUAUUGCACAAUGGGCGCAAGCCUGAUGCAGCCAUGCCGCGUGUGUGAAGAAGGCCUUCGGGUUGUAAAGCACUUUCAGUCGUGAGGAAGGUAGUGUAGUUAAUAGCUGCAUUAUUUGACGUUAGCGACAGAAGAAGCACCGGCUAACUCCGUGCCAGCAGCCGCGGUAAUACGGAGGGUGCGAGCGUUAAUCGGAAUUACUGGGCGUAAAGCGCAUGCAGGUGGUUUGUUAAGUCAGAUGUGAAAGCCCGGGGCUCAACCUCGGAAUAGCAUUUGAAACUGGCAGACUAGAGUACUGUAGAGGGGGGUAGAAUUUCAGGUGUAGCGGUGAAAUGCGUAGAGAUCUGAAGGAAUACCGGUGGCGAAGGCGGCCCCCUGGACAGAUACUGACACUCAGAUGCGAAAGCGUGGGGAGCAAACAGGAUUAGAUACCCUGGUAGUCCACGCCGUAAACGAUGUCUACUUGGAGGUUGUGGCCUUGAGCCGUGGCUUUCGGAGCUAACGCGUUAAGUAGACCGCCUGGGGAGUACGGUCGCAAGAUUAAAACUCAAAUGAAUUGACGGGGGCCCGCACAAGCGGUGGAGCAUGUGGUUUAAUUCGAUGCAACGCGAAGAACCUUACCUACUCUUGACAUCCAGAGAACUUUCCAGAGAUGGAUUGGUGCCUUCGGGAACUCUGAGACAGGUGCUGCAUGGCUGUCGUCAGCUCGUGUUGUGAAAUGUUGGGUUAAGUCCCGCAACGAGCGCAACCCUUAUCCUUGUUUGCCAGCGAGUAAUGUCGGGAACUCCAGGGAGACUGCCGGUGAUAAACCGGAGGAAGGUGGGGACGACGUCAAGUCAUCAUGGCCCUUACGAGUAGGGCUACACACGUGCUACAAUGGCGCAUACAGAGGGCGGCCAACUUGCGAAAGUGAGCGAAUCCCAAAAAGUGCGUCGUAGUCCGGAUUGGAGUCUGCAACUCGACUCCAUGAAGUCGGAAUCGCUAGUAAUCGUGGAUCAGAAUGCCACGGUGAAUACGUUCCCGGGCCUUGUACACACCGCCCGUCACACCAUGGGAGUGGGCUGCAAAAGAAGUAGGUAGUUUAACCUUCGGGGGGACGCUUACCACUU